Molecule: ribosomal RNA, 286 nt
Filed under: uncultured bacterium
Lineage: Bacteria
Description: partial 16S ribosomal RNA
Rfam family: Bacterial small subunit ribosomal RNA
Source: RNAcentral
UACCCUACGGGAGGCAGCAGUGAGGAAUAUUGGUCAAUGGGCGGGAGCCUGAACCAGCCAAGCCGCGUGAAGGAAGAAGGCGCCAAGCGUCGUAAACUUCUUUUGUCGGGGAACAAAGGGCGCCACGUGUGGCGUUGUGAGUGUACCCGAAGAAAAAGCAUCGGCUAACUCCGUGCCAGCAGCCGCGGUAAUUCGGAGGAUGCGAGCGUUAUCCGGAUUUAUUGGGUUUAAAGGGUGCGUAGGCGGAAUAUCAAGUCAGCGGUAAAAAUUCGGGGCUCAACCCCGU